RNAcentral lists this long non-coding RNA (13942 nucleotides) under Ricinus communis (castor bean). RNAcentral describes it as "long non-coding RNA (RCOM_LNC001791)". Lineage: Eukaryota; Viridiplantae; Streptophyta; Magnoliopsida; Malpighiales; Euphorbiaceae. The record is from RNAcentral.
AGGCCUAUCCCUCCUCGAUCCCCAUGGCGAAGCCUAUCCUGCUAUCUAUUUCUCUUUGCCUUUUUGUUCUCUUCCAAGGCUCCUUAGCUCUCGUUUCAUCAUCUCAGCAGCAAAACGAGUGUCGAAUCGACAGGAUCAAUGCCCGCGAACCUGAUAGCCGCAUUCAGAGCGAAGCUGGUACAAUUGAGUCAUGGGAUCCUAACCACGAUCAGUUCCGAUGCGCUGGUGUGGCUGUAACCAGGCACACUAUUCAACCCGAUGGCCUUUUAUUGCCAGCUUACAGCAAUGCUCCUCAACUCGUCUAUAUUGUCCAAGGUGUGUAGAAAUAAGAAACCUCUCCUUCCCAAGCAGCAAAAUCAAGAUGAUGUUUAUGUAUGUUGUGUAAAUACAGGUCAAGGUAUGCUUGGAGCCAUGUUUCCUGGAUGCGCUGAAACAUUCCAAGAAUCUCAAGAAUCCAGUAGGAGCAGUAGACAACAAGAGCAGCACCAAAAGAUUCGCCAUUUCCGACGUGGAGAUGUCAUUGCUUUGCCAGCAGGAAUAGCCCACUGGUGCUACAACGAUGGCAAUGAACCCCUUAUUGCUGUCAGUGUUUUGGACACUGGCAACAACGCUAACCAGCUUGACAGGAACCCCAGAGUAAUAAAGAGACAAAAACNNNUGACUAAUAUCGACUUGAAUUUCUUUGCUUCUCUUGAACUUGUUUCGCAGAAUUUCUACCUAGCCGGUAAUCCAGAAGAUGAGUUCCAGCAACAAUCCAGACGCCCAGGUGAGCGUGGACACGGAGAGUAUUCCCUUGGAGGCAGCAGCGAGAGACGACAGCGAUCUUGCAACAAUGUGUUCUGCGGAAUGGACUCAAGGUUUAUCGCUGAAGCUUUCAACAUUGAUGAGCAAUUGGCUAGAAGGAUUCAAGGUCAGGAUGACGCCAGAGGCAACAUAGUGAGGGUCGAAGGUCGUAUUCAGGUAACGAGGCCACCCAGGACUCAACAAGAGAGAGAGGAGCAACUAGAACGCGAGUAUGAACAAGGCCGUCGACAUUACAAUGGCAUUGAGGAGACUUUUUGCACCAUGAGGAUGAGGGAAAACAUUGCUGAUCCCUCACGCGCUGAUAUCUUCGUCCCUGAAGUUGGUCGUAUGAGCACCGUCAACAGCCACAGUCUCCCUAUCCUUCGGUGGCUCAAACUCAGUGCUUCACAUGCUGUUCUCCGCAAUGUAAGUCAAAUAGCCCAUUCCAUAGCCAAUGGCACAUCAUCAUUUGCGCUGCUUCCAUAAUUCAUAACUAAAGAUGAAUAAUGUUAUUCGCAGAAUGCUGUGAGACUGCCUCACUGGCACAUGAAUUCCCAUAGCAUAUUAUAUGCCAUAAGGGGUCAAGCACGGAUUCAGGUGGUAAAUGAAAAUGGCAACAGUGUCUUCGACGGUAGUGUAAGGCAAGGACAAGUCCUGACACUGCCACAGAACUUUGUGGUGGUGAAUAGGGCAGAGAGUGACAAUUUCGAAUACGUUUCCUUCAAUACCAAUGACAAUGCCGUGGCCUUUGAUGUUGCUGGCCGCACCUCAGCCCUUCGGGGCAUGCCAGUGGAAGUAAUUGCAAACGCAUUCAGAGUUUCGAUAGAGGAAGCCAGGAGGAUCAAGUUCGGGAGGGAGGAGACCACCCUUGGUAGCUCACUGUCUCAGCCAAGGAGGGCAGCUGCUUAAGCAGUAAAAUUACAGUAUGAACAAUGUAAACUAAAGGAACACACACCCUUUUUCGUGUUAAUGUAAGUAUGAUGUUUAGAAAUAAAAGAGACUUCCAUGGUCUCUGUACGCUGUAAGCACGUAAGUAGAGAGGACUUCUACUUGGCAAUAAAAAUGCUUCUUAUUUUAUGAAGUAAUUGGUUCCUCGUCCUUUGGCAGAGAAUAAAUUUGGUGAUAAAUUGACCUGAAACGCCAAAUGUAAUAUCAAAAAACAAGACUAUACAUAUCCUAUUGUCAUAGGAUCAUCAUUAUUCUGAAGGCCCUUAAUUUGCUUCUAAAUUAAUCCAUUUGCAUGUAUAACUAGAGCACUAAACAAGAGCAAGUACUACCACAUUGAAAUACACAGAACAGAAGACGUGUUAUAAAAUAAAUACCAACAUUCAUAUCCGACUGGAAAUUGGAAUUAGAGCACUAUUGCAUUUCUUUUAUCAAUCAAUUAAGCAAUGGAUAUGUUCAAAUAAAUUAGGAAUCAACUUUUAUGCAAAUAGUUCACCAAACAUGAUGUAAGUUUCUAAUAUGAUACUCCUGCAAAAUUUGUUUACAUCAAUACCCCUAUUACAAAAAACAACAGCAUCUCAUUUUAUUCAAACACAAUAGUAGCAAGCUUGAUUUUUCUUUCUUCGGGGCUGCUGUAAGCUUUUCCUUUACAUUCCUGCUAAACCAGCUUAUCUCCUUUGCUCCAAACUAAUCUGAUUCUGUUGAUACGAACAAAAGUAAACCUUGCCCCAAACUGAAGCAGAAAUAAUAGCACAUUUAGAAAAUAAGUGCUCCCAGCAAUUUACCUUGUCAAAAUUAGGUCUUCCGGGCACUAAUAAUAAAAAAAAUAUCACUGAAUUUUAAGUAUCAGGUAUAUGAUCUUUACUUAAGAAUUUUAAAGUAACUGCAUAUUUAAAGUUCGAACUUAAUACCUUAGUUAAACUAAAAAAAACCUUUACCAUCUAAUCUACACAUUCUUUUUGGAUUUUAGCGACUAAUUAUUGUAUUUCAACUAUCGCAAAUAUUUUUAAAAAAAUUAAUAAAUUUAAUAAGCAUCUAUUGCUAAGGGUGUCAUCGAGAUAAAACACAAAAUGAAUGAAUUAUGCCAACUACGAUAAUCGAUAUGUUUUAUUAAAGCUAAAGGGUUAAUUUGGCCCCUAAACUAUUUUUCAAAAUCUAAUUCUUUCCAAAUCAGUUUCUUGGCUAAUUACAUCAAAAUUCGCUGUAAAAAAUGUGUGAGCCUCAAAAUCAUUUUACCAAAAAUUUCAACAUAUCUUUUCUUCCUCCUGUUGUUGUGAUAAUAAGCCUUAGUCUCAAACGAUCAAUCACGACUUGAUUUUCUAAAAGUAGUAGCAUCAGACUCGUUCCGACAACGACAACAGUUUUGGAGAUCAGGGGUUUCAAGAGACAAUUGAUUUUCUUAAAAUAUUUUCAAACUAGUUUAGGGGGUGUUUGGAACUAAUCAGCCAUUAACCAGAGACUUUUAUAUAGUUUGGCCAAAAAUUAAAUCAAGCUGAAUUAACUUUGGAAAAUAAUUCAGAGGCCAAACACUUUUAAAACUGUCGACAAUUACUUCUUAUAUAUCAAUUUCCCAACUUCUCUUGGAGCCGACCCAAAUGGUGGAUAAACUUUGUAUUAAAUUUGUUUUUAUUAUAAGAUUUUACUUUGUUGUAUUUUAAUCAUUUAAUUUAAACUAUAUUUAAGUCACUUUCAUGAACAAAAGAUUGAUACUUCACAAAUACAAUGAAUAGAGAAAAGAACAAAUAAAAGAAACUCUCUAACUUAGAAAGGUGAUUAAAAUCAAAAUUAGGAAACUGAAACAAAUUUGGCAUCAUUAUUCCAACCACUUGUCAAAGAAUAUAAAAUCUAUUGUAUACUUAAUUUUUGUUUUCUUGGUAGAAACAUAUAGGGCAGAACCAAAACAGAAAGAUUAUACUUUAAUAAAAUUUAUGCCCACGUCAUAUCCAAAUUACAAAUCAGAGGUACCACUUGGAGGUUCAAGAUACACUUCAGUCAAUCGCAUUUACAAAAACGGUUCACCUACCUAAUUAACAAGAAAAUUAUUAUUUAUAAAAGUUAGUCGUUUACCGUGACUGUCGUAAUUAUUUUCAAUAUUAAUAAUAAUAGAAAUUGUGUCUAUAUAUAAAAUUAAAUAAUUUUUUUAAUAUUUUAUAAUUAUUUAAAAUAUUUAAAAAUAAAUUAAAUAUGUUUAACUACUUUGUUAGUUUUUUAUCUUUUAAAAUUUUAUUAAUAUAAUAAUAUAAAAUUAUAAAAAAAAAAACUAUAAAAUUAUAUAUAAACUUGAAUUCUACAUGUCAAUAAUUAGUACACAUGUCAAAAUUUAAAAUUAUAUGUGUCAGAAUAUGGUAACAAAUGUAAAAAAAAAAAUUAUUAGACCAUAUACAUAUUAAAAUUUUUAUUUAUUUAUAUGUAUUAAAAUAUUCAUUUUUUUUAUGUAUAAUGUCCAUUAGAUGUAAUAUUCUAUAAUAAUUAAUUUUUUUGUAUUGAAAUAUUCAUUAUCUAUGAACUUAAUAUUCAUUAUGAUUAAUGUCGUGUUUAUUUUGUUUGAUAUAUUAUUUUUCAAUAUUAGUAUUAAUAUUUAUUAUAUGGUACUACAAUAUUCAUUGUCCGUAUAAUAAUGUUCAUCAAUAUUUUUAAAUAUUGAUUUUUUUAUGAAAAUUUUUAUUGUUUUUGUAAUGCAUGUUGAAAAAAAUUAUGGUUGAUAUAAACAUUUAUCAUUUAUAGGCAUAAUACUUAUUAAUUUGUCAUUGAUGAAAAUCAUACUACUAAUUCAUUAAAAUGAAUAUAUAUAAUAUAAAUCAUCCUAACAUAGUCAGUAAAAAAAAUAUCAAGUUAAAAUUAUAAUAUAAAUAAUUAUACUGUAGUGCACGUAUCUUUUCAAUAGAUUAAAUUGAUUAAUAAUGAAUAUUUUAUAUUUAAAUAGUAAAUAUUUAAUGUAUGUUUAAUAAUUAUAAAUUAAUAAAUAUUAAUUAUUUUUAAAAAAAAUUACGUUAUCAUCUAGUAUGAACGUCAACGUGUCAGGCGCUCACGCGAAUAUUUUUACAAACAAAAUGGCGCUUGAGGCAAUAAAGCUAUAUGUAAAAGGCUCUAUCUUAUAAUUUGAUUAAAAUUGAACUCCCAAUGGGUAGCCAUUAAAAUCGCCUACCACAUAUAGAAAGUAACAACCAUAAUUGAACACUUCACCAAGUGAAUCAAUUUUAAAAGGAAAAUUAAAAAUGUGAAGCAUAAAAGAAAACAAGAGAAAAUUAUUCACUAUACUGCACUAUAUAGACUUACAGUGGUAAUCAAUGAGUUGCUUACCCUUCAAACAAAUCUAAUUUAAAAAUAAAUAUAAAAUGUCCAUGAAGACGCAUACAAAGACAAAUUAGCUGUUAGUAUUCUCAUCCUUUUCAUGGCCACUCUUGCAUUCAUCUCUCAAGUUUUGAGACACUUGCCCAACCUGACUUUAUUAGGUGUAAGAUAUUAGGCCAGAUUAACCAUGCAAAUUCAAGAGUAAGCUAAACAGUUCUCGUCCUUAUGGCCUUCCUCUGCUAUAAAUACCAACCUCUACCACCCCAUUUAUCACAAAUUAUAAACAGCAUUCCCUCCUCUGUAGCUACCACCAAGAUGGUUAAGCCAAUCCUGCUGUGUGCUUCUCUUUGCCUUAUUCUUCUCUUCCAUGGCUCCUCUGCUGGCUCUUCAUUUCAGCAGCAAAACGAGUGCCAACUCAAUAGGCUCAAUGCCUUUGAACCUGAUAACCGUAUUCAGAGCGAAGCUGGUACAAUUGAGUCAUGGAAUCCUAACCACGAUCAGUUCCAGUGCGCUGGUGUGGCUGUAACCAGGCACACUAUUGAACCCAGAGGCCUUCUGUUGCCAGCUUACAGCAAUGCUCCCCAACUCGUCUAUAUAGUCCAAGGUAUGUAGAAAUACGAAGUCUUUCUUUCAAAAGCAGCAAAAGAAGAUUACUUGCGUUUGCAUUUGUUUGAUAAGUGCUUACGAUGAUGGACUUAAAUAUGUAAAUUCAGGUAGGGGUAUGUUCGGGGUAAUGUUUCCUGGAUGCUCUGAAACAUUCCAAGAAUCUCAACAAUCCAGUAGCAGCAGUGGGCAACAAGAGCAGCACCAAAAGAUUCGUCAUUUCCGCCGUGGCGAUAUCAUUGCUUUGCCUGCAGGAGCAGCCCACUGGUGCUACAACGAUGGCAACGAACCCGUUGUUGCUGUCACUGUUUUUGACACUGCCAACAACGCUAACCAGCUUGACAGGAAUCCCAGGGUACGUAAUAAAGAAACAAAAACCUACAUGACUAUAGAUAUUGAUUAAUUAAGGUUGGUUUGGCUAAUACCAAUUUAAAUUUAUUUGCUUCUUUUCUACUUGUUUCACAGAACUUCUAUCUAGCCGGUAAUCCAGAAGAUGAAUUCCAGAAACAAUCCAGACGCCCAGGUGAGCGUGAACAGGGACGAUAUUCCCUUAGCGGUGCCAGCGAGCGACGACGGGGAUCUUGCAACAAUGUGUUCUGUGGAAUGGACUCAAGGCUCAUCGCUGAAGCUUUCAACAUCAACGAGCAAUUGGCUAGAAAGCUUCAAAGCGAGAAUGAUUUCAGAGGCAACAUAGUGUGGGUGGAAGGUGAUCUUCAGGUAACAAGGCCACCAAGGACUCAACAAGAGAGAGAGGAGCAAGAAGCGCGUGAAUAUGAAGAAAGCAGGGGACAUGAAAGAACUUACAAUGGCAUUGAGGAGACCUUCUGCACCAUGAGAAUGAAGGAAAACAUUGCUGAUCCAUCACGCGCUGAUAUCUUCGUCCCUGAAGUUGGUCGUAUGAGCACCGUCAACAGCCAUAACCUCCCUAUUCUCCGGAGCCUCCGACUCAGUGCUUCCCAUGUUGUCCUCCGCAAUGUAAGUUUAAUUAUUUCCUUCUUAAUCCCUUGAUUGCCGAUGGCGCAUCAAAAGACUUAUGCCAUUACUGAUGAUCUGGGUAUGUUAUUGGGCAGAAUGCUGUUAGAAUGCCCCACUGGAACACGAAUGCCCACAGUGUAAUAUACGCCAUAAGGGGUCAAGCACAGAUUCAGGUUGUUGAUGAAAAUGGCAGGAGUGUCUUUGACGGCAAUGUAAGGCAAGGGCAGGUUCUGACAGUACCACAAAACUUCAUGGUAGUUAAAAGGGCAGAGAGUGAUAGAUUCGAGUAUGUUGCCUUCAAAACCAACGAUAACGCCAUGACUUUCGAUGCUGCUGGGCGCACUUCUGCUAUUAGAGCCAUGCCAAUAGAGGUCGUAGCCAACGCAUUUCAGGUGUCGGUGGACGAAGCCAGGAGGAUCAAGUUCGAGAGGCAGGAGUCCACCUUUGGUAGGUCCAGGACUCGCUCAGGGAGGAGAGAUGUUGCUUGAGGAAGCAUUGUAAAAUUAAAAUAAGAGGCACACACUUGGCCGUUUUUUGUUCUCUGAGUGUGCAACUAAAUAUAAGGUCUAGAAAUAAAGGAUACUUUGAUGGUCUCUCAUAUUACGCUUAUGUAAGUAGGAAGAGCUUCUACUUGGCAAUAAACAAAAUCUUCUCUUUUAUCUUUUAUCCUUUUUUUUUUUUUUAUCUGGUCUAUGAAGAAGCAAUAAAGAGAUCGUUUCUUCUUUUUUACCUUUUCUUUCUCUGUCCAUGAAGAAGAGAUGUAAAUGUCAAUUUUGAACAUGCUCGUGCUUGACCUUCCAUAUUCGAUAUGAAGAAGGUUACUAAUCCUCGACAGAACACAUCCAUAUUCGAUAGGGUGUUGUUUAGCAGCGGUGGUCCUUUGCAUUUGGUUGUUGAUUGUAUUUGAAUUAGUGUCUCUGAGAUUAUGAAAAUCCGAUGGUAUGCUAGUUGGCUGCCUAAACUGCUGUAACAGGUUAGUUGGCUGCCUCGCCCUUGACUUGGUUUAAAGUUAAUUCUGAUGGUGAGUCGUUGUCUUCUUCUGGUUUAGCCAUGGCUGGUGGCUAAUUAGGAAUCAUUAGGGGGUUUACAUUUAAUAUUGGUGCUUGUUCUAUAACUAGAGCUGAAAUGUGGGGUAUGCUUAAGGGUAUUCAAUUGGCUCGAGAGUUGAAGUUGAUAGUCAAUGCGCUGUCCAUUUGGUGCAGAAUUCUGCUAGACUGGGUAAUGCGAAUGGUGCUAUUAUAAGAGAAAUUCAUCAGUUUGUUUCUAAUAAAGACUCGGAGGUAAGAAUUGUUUUGCGACUUAGUUCGGCUGCACAUUGCAUUGGGUGGCUAAUAGCUAGUAAUUCAAAGUUGAUAAAAUAAAUAGUUUUAUAAAAUUUUAUUAGUAUAUUAAAUAGUUAUUAAAGAUAUAAUCUAGUUUUACAUAUAUAUUUAAUUUUAUUAUACUAUCUUUAAUAAUAUAAAUUAAAAAAUAAAUUAUAAUAAUUAAAAAUAUUAUGGUUAAUUUUUUAGUUUAAUUGUAUUUGUAUUUAUUAUUAAAAAUAUUUGUAAAAGUUAUUUUUAAAAUAAAAAUUUAAAUUUAAAUUUUAUUAAAAAUUUAAUAAUUUCAAAUACUAUAAUUAUUUAACUAUUAAGAAUAAAUUUAAAAUAAUAAUUAUUUAUUAUAAAAUAUAAAAAUUUAAUUAUAUGAAAUCAACUUAAAGUAAGUUAUUAUUAAUAAAUUUUAAUAAGAAUAAUAGUAUCCAAAUAAAAAAGAAUAAAUCAGUUAUCAACUAAUAAAAAAAAAAUAAUUAGAGCCAGUACAAUCAAUAAUUGAUUGAACUAAAUCAGUUAUUAACUAUUGUUUUUUAAAUUUUUAUUAAAUAUUUUAAUAUAGUUAUUCAGUGAAAAAUAACUAAAUCAACUAUGAGUUGCUCAUUCUUAAGUCAUUACAAAACGCUUUAAUAUAGUUAUUUAGUAAGAAACAAAUAUCGGCUGCACAAAAGAAUUGAACCGAAUAUUCUCUUUAUAUCUAUAGAUAAAAGAACUUUAAAAUGAAUCGAACUCGAGCUUCUACCAUAUUAAAACAAAUAGAACUCCAGCUUGUCAAAAUUCGGCUCUACUCAAUUCCUUACGGUCCUAUUGUGCUGUUUUUAGUGCUCGGUUUAUUUGACUUUAGUUUUCUUUUUUACUUUUUCUUAUUUGUAAUAAUAAUAAAAAAAGAGGCAUGUAGUAAAAAAAAAAAUUAGGAUAAAAGAACAACGCAACUAAAAAAAGGCAGAAACAGAAGAGAUACAAGAUACGAUAAAACAACCAAAAAAAGGCAGAAGUAUAUAGGGCCAAAGAAAGGCAAUAAAAUUCUUCAAUAUGCCAUACACUUUGCUUUGCCUUACACUUCCAAAAGCCUGUCACUAUUCCUAACAAGACACUACAAUAGCAUAUUCUGAUCCAAUAAGAAAGUUAUCAACUUUCUUUUUUCUUCUUUUUUUAUUCUUCUUUUUCAUCGUGUAUAUAUAUAUUUAGAAUUAAUUUAGAGUUCGUCGGAUAAAACUUUUAUCCAUCACAAAAUACUAUCUCAAAAAUAAUAAUACAAUUGCAUACUCAAAAUUCGAAUUUGAAACCUUACUUAAGCUAGGUUAUAUUUUUAUCAUUUCAUUUACGCACUCUUAAAUAUAUAUAUAUAUUUUUUAUUAUUUAGAUGCAAAAGGCAAAAAUUAAUACCAAGCCCAAUGAUACAUGUUUUUUUUUAGAUAGAGAGGUAUUUGUAUUAAGUUCGCCCACACUCCGGCAACACUGUUCUCAUGCAGCCAUACCUAAUUGAAAUGGCAGAUUUAACUGAACAGGAGUUGUUUGUAUUUGGAGCCCAUAUUCUUUUAUCAGAUUGUAUAUUCUUUUAUCAGAUUCUAUAUGUAGAUCAUCAAUUUUGUUAUAUUUUGAUUGAAAUCCUUUAAGAAAUUCAUUUCAUUUAAAAAGAAUAACAUAAAAAAAAAAUUGAAAUAAUAAAAUUGAAAGAACUAUGUUGGUGUUAUGCAAUACACUUAUAAACUAAUAUANNNAACUAAUAUAAAUUUUAUUUAAAAAUUUUAUCUAUUUUGUUAGAAUUUAAUUUAGUUAAAUUCUACACAAAUUUUAUUAUAUAAAAUUCUAAGUUAAUAUUCACUUCAUUUAAAACAUAAAAAAUUUAAAUUUAUAAAUAAAUUAUAAAAUUUUUAUAAAUUACAACCAAACACAAUAAGUGACACUAAAACCAAUUCAGAUCGUGCCAAAUGUCCAUUUCUUUGAUAAGAAUAUUAUUGCCUAAACAAAAAAGGAGCAAAUUUAAUCCAAAUAUUAAUUCAAAAAUUUACCAAAAAAUUAGAUUUGGUGUAUGUUACCACCUAUAUACAAAAUCGAUAAAUGAUUGACAGAUAUUUAUUAGUAUUAAAUAAUAAAGUAUGUGUCAAUUAUCUAAUACUAAAACAUAAAAUACUCAUACAUACGUGUUAUUUUCUUAUUAGUUGUGGUAUAUAUAUAUAUAUAUAUAUAUAAAGCCUAAAUAAAAAAAUUUACAGCAUGGACUAAACUUACGAGAAUUUAAUAUGCUGGACAAAAUUUUGGUUCCAGUUGGGUCUGCAUAAUAUGUAUCCAAAUAGUAGACAUAUUUUGAGUUGAGGAUGAGGAUACCCAAUUAUAUAGUGUUAGACCAUACUUAUCCAAAUAAAUUCUUUUGAUUGGUUUAAAAAUAUGAGUUUUAUUGGAUUAUAUACAUUUGUAAAUUUCUUGGUCCAAUUUUAGUCUAUAUUAUAUUUAUAUAUAUCAGUGACACAUAUUGAUACAAUCCAUCUUUUUAUAUUUAAUAUUUAAUAAAUUAAUAAUUUUAUUCGUUAACAAAUUUUUGAAAAAUUAACUUCAUUCUUCUUUGGAUAAUUAGGAAAAAAUGCUAAUUAUUUAUGUAUUAUUUGCCUUUACAUUAUAUUUGGUUGUAACAAUAAUUUUGUAGAAUUUAUUUCAAAUCCAAAAUUUAUUUGUUUACUAUAUUAACGAGGUAAUAUAUUUCGUGAGAUUAAUAUCAUUUAAUUAUUUCAUAUUUUUGUCUCGUAUUUUUUAUCUAUAUAAUAUUAUUAAUUAUUCAAAAUGUAAUAUUAAUUUCAAUGGAAGUGAAUCAUAUACUUUUCAUUUAACACAAAAAAAAUAUUGUCAAUUCAUUUAUAAAUAAAAUGAAUUCAUCAAUCAAAGGUAAUAUUAGUGUUAUUAUUUUAAUAUUUAUUAUUAGUAGUAAAUUUGAAGUUUUAGAAGUUACCAAUUUUAAUAUCCGGGGAAGUUACCACUUAUAAGAACCUUUAAAAGUUAGUACAUGCAAAAAAAUGGAAGAAAAUUGACACAUAGGCCACCAACAAAAAGAAGUGAAAGGAAAUAAUAUUUUCUAUUAAAGGAAUGUGCAGCAUGAUUUUUACGCUAAUUACUUAUUUUCGAUUGAGAAUUAAUUAAUUAUUUUGUAUUUUCAUAACAACUGUUUCAUUUUAUAUAAUAACUUGUUAAUUUUAAAUUUAUAUAUAUAUAAUUUAUUAAAUUCUUUACAAAAAUACCCCGUUUCGCAAUAGUAAUAUUUUUACCUCCAAAAAGAAGUCUUAUAAAAAUUCCCCUUUUAACUAAAACUCUUUUAUAAAAAUAUGCUUUCUCCGUGAUGUGUUAUAUGUGCAUUUCUUGCAUGGUAUUUUACAUUCAAUAAAAAUACACUUAUUAAAAUAUUAAAAUAAGACACACGAUUAGUGGAUAUAUUUUUAAAAAAAUUUAUAAUGGUUAUUUUAUUUUUAUUUUUAUUUUUAUGACCUAUGUUUUUAUAUGAAUUUAAUUUCUUCUUUUAUUUUUCAGAAAUGCAUAUUUUAUAUUAAUUAAUUAAUUAAUAUAGAUGACUUCCUUAAUAAAUUACUAUAAAUUUAAACUUUACAUCACGACUAUAACACUCUAAAAUCUCAUCAUUUUUAAAAAUUUGAAAUCUGUCCUAUACACUUUAUACUAUAUAGUUAAGUUAUUUGUAGCUCGUGUUGGACAGUUUUUAAGUUAAUGUGAGAGUAAAUACUAACUUGUUCAUAUAUUUUUCCUUAUUUAAAUCAGUACAAACAUCCCAUUUUGCAUAAUUUUACGAGUGUAGUUUAAUUUUAAAUUUUUACAUAAUUAUAAAUAUGAAAUUUUUACAAAAUUAAUAAAAUUUAUACCUCUAAUACACACAAGCUCAAAAAAUCCCUUUCAAGCUAAUAUAUAUAUUCUAAUAAUUUAAAAUUAUUUCAAAAAGUAAAUAUCUCUGAAGACAAAUCAAAUUAACAAAAUAUCAACUAAAAUAAUUUAUUUAUUUUAUUUUUUACAUCAACAAAAUAAAUAAAAAAUAACCAUAAUCAAACACAAAAUAAAGUAAAUCUAAAUACUAAAAAGUAAUUUUUCAAGAAAAAAAAUUAAUUUCUAAUAUUGUGGAUCUUCUUCAACAUAAAAGUAACAUUUUAAGGAACAUAAAACUAUUUUUUCAACAAAAAAAUGAAUUUCUAAUAUUCUAAAUUAUUUUUAACUUGUAAAUAACAAUUCAAGAAGAGAAAUUAAAGAUACUUCUUUAUAUAUUUGAAAUUCAACCAAACAUCAACAAAAUCAUUUAAUUACAUAAAGACUUAAAACAAAUAUAAAAUAUAAAAUUUGACAUAGAAAUUCAUAAUGAAACUGUGUUAUCUCUAAACAACCUUAAUGCUAUUCUAUAUUUUAAAAUACACAAGAAGCUAUUUCUGGUACAUACAACCACAGUUACUUGAAAAUACAGUCUCUUCAUUUUCACCUAUAACUAACAAUAUUUCUUUUCCUAUUGACUAAAAGGACAAAUUUUUUUUACAUCUCAUGAAUUUAUAUUCCUUCGUCGUCAUCAAAAUUACAAUCAGAAUCAAAAAAAGAAAUCCCAACGGCUUUGAAGAUAGUAGGAAUCUCGUAUUCUUCCCCUUUAUAGUACUUCUCUAUCAUCUUCUUUAGCAUUCACAAGUAAAAAGGAUUAAAUAGAGCCAAAUAUAAAUACAUGAUGAUAGUGUCGGCUCAUAUUCAUAUCUAUUUGAGAACGCCAAGACACCAUCACCGCAAGAACAACACAUCAAGAACACCAUUGCAAGAAACAGUUCCACCAAAUUUAUGAUUUUAAUUGGACCCAUUCUCUCUUCCAUAUAUGGUUUUAUAGCAGCAUCCAUGCUUGUACAAGCCAAAGAAAACAAAUAUUUUGCUUUUAACAACAGAAAAAACUAAUUUAAGAAUGGGAUGUGUUGCCUCAAAACUAGAAGAAGAAGAAGAAAUGUACCUAUCUGUAGAGAAAGAAAACCAACUUCACCUUUUCCCAUUGCUUUUCCUUCCUUCUUUUUCUACCUCUAGCUACCGUUCUUGGAUAGCUUGCUUGCGGACGAUCCGCCUUCCCUCCCCCCCCCCCCCCCCCCCCACACCAGCCUUUGACAACACUCAUUGACCGGGGAAGAAGAUUAAGAAGCUUGAAAAUUGGCUCUUCUUGAAAAAACAUAAAAAUGUAAAGAGAAAGAGUAAAAAUGUGAGGAAUUAAAACUGGAGGUAAUUUUGUAAUUAUAUUGAAAAAAAAAAGCAUAUAGGAUCUAAUUCCCUCUAAUUUAUUUUGAAUACUUUGAUUUCAUACAAUUUUAUAAUUUUUAUUCUUUGUGAACUUUAUAGAUUGAUAAUAUUAAUAUUUAAUAAUUUUUUGAUCAAUCAGAUAUAUUAAUUAUAAAAAAAUAUAUAAACCAUUUUAAUAUUAAAAUAAAAAUAUUCACAAACAUAUAUCACUAUUUCAAAAAUUAACAUAUAUAUGUCACUACUGAAAAAUAUCAAUUUAUUAGUUACUCGAGGAAUAGAUGUAAAUCAUGUAAUUAAUUAAAAAAGAAAUUCCAAGAAGAUACAUACAAGUAGCUGCUAGUCGUCUCAUCCUUUCCAUAGCCACUUUUGUAUCCAUCUCUCAAGUUUUGAGACACAUGCCCGACCUGACUUUAUUAUGUGUAAGAUAUUAGCCCAAAUUAACCAUGCAAAUCAAACAGUAAGCUUAACAAGUUCUCGUCCUUACUAUACGCUUUCUCUUCUAUAAAUACCAACCUCUACCACCCCAUUUAUCACAAAUUAUAAACAGCAUUCCCUCCUCUGUAGCUACCACCAAGAUGGUUAAGCCAAUCCUGCUGUGUGCUUCUCUUUGCCUUAUUCUUCUCUUCCAUGGCUCCUCUGCUGGCUCUUCAUUUCAGCAGCAAAACGAGUGCCAACUCAAUAGGCUCAAUGCCUUUGAACCUGAUAACCGUAUUCAGAGCGAAGCUGGUACAAUUGAGUCAUGGAAUCCUAACCACGAUCAGUUCCAGUGCGCUGGUGUGGCUGUAACC